AUGUACCACGCGUACACUCCGGUUCCUCCGCGCCGUCCGCACACGCCCGACGACCGCCCGUUACGUGUUGUUAGCC
Molecule: small RNA, 76 nt
Filed under: Xanthomonas floridensis
Lineage: Bacteria; Pseudomonadati; Pseudomonadota; Gammaproteobacteria; Lysobacterales; Lysobacteraceae
Description: sX9 sRNA
Rfam family: Xanthomonas sRNA sX9
Source: RNAcentral